UGAGGAAUAUUGGUCAAUGGGCGCAAGCCUGAACCAGCCAUCCCGCGUGCAGGAAGACGGCCCUAUGGGUUGUAAACUGCUUUUCCAGGGGGAGAAUUUUUCUGUCGUGACAGGAAUUGACGGUACCCUGGGAAUAAGCAUCGGCUAACUCCGUGCCAGCAGCCGCGGUAAUACGGAGGAUGCGAGCGUUAUCCGGAUUUAUUGGGUUUAAAGGGUGCGUAGGCGGAUUGAUAAGUCAGUGGUGAAAACCUGCAGCUUAACUGUAGGAGUUGCGUUUGUAAUGGACAGAUUGGGGGGUGUGAAAGGAAGGGGAAUGGUGAAUGGAGGGGUGGAAUGCUUAGAUAUUACACAGAAAAACGGAUGGGGAGGGAGGUUACUGGGCCAUUACUGACGCUGAUGCACGAAAGCGUGGGGAUCGAACAG
Molecule: ribosomal RNA, 423 nt
Filed under: uncultured bacterium
Lineage: Bacteria
Description: bacterial SSU rRNA
Rfam family: Bacterial small subunit ribosomal RNA
Source: RNAcentral